GAUGAACGCUGGCGGCGUGCCUAAUACAUGCAAGUCGAGCGAACAGGCGAGGAGCUUGCUCCUUGGACGUUAGCGGCGGGCGGGAGAGUAACACGUGGAUAACCUACCUAUAAGACUGGGAUAACUUCGGGAAACCGGAGCUAAUACGGGAUAAGAUGUUGAACCGCGUGGUGCGACAGUGAAAGACGGUCUUGCUGUCACUUAUAGAUGGAUACGCGCCGCAUUAGCUAGUUGGUAAGGUAACGGCUUACGAAGGGAACGAUGCGUAGCCGACCUGAGGGGCGGAUAGGCCACACUGGAGCGGAGACACGGUCCAUGCGACUACGGUAGGCAGCAGUAGCGAAUCGUACGCAAUGGGCGAAAGUCUGACGGAGCAACGCCGAGUGAGUUAAGAAGGUCUUCGGAUCGUAAUACUCUGUUACGAGGGAAGAACAAAUGUGGAAGUAACUAUGCACGUCUUGACGGUACCGAAUCAGAAAGCCACGGCUAACUACGUG
Molecule: ribosomal RNA, 497 nt
Filed under: uncultured bacterium
Lineage: Bacteria
Description: partial 16S ribosomal RNA
Rfam family: Bacterial small subunit ribosomal RNA
Source: RNAcentral